This 1283-nucleotide long non-coding RNA is filed under the name Monodelphis domestica (gray short-tailed opossum). Its description in RNAcentral is "lncRNA (ENSMODG00000038746.1)". Lineage: Eukaryota; Metazoa; Chordata; Mammalia; Didelphimorphia; Didelphidae. The record is from RNAcentral.
AGUAUUAUUUGAAUCUUUGACCAACCCUUCAACAAAUAGUACCUUUCAAACAAUGGAUAAUAAUAAAGAUGGCAUCUCAUGAAAAGAUCAGGAAUAAGAGAAUGACAACAAAUCAAGACAAAGAAUAGUUGUCUCAGUUAAAAGAAAAAGUAACACAAAUAACCCAAGUCUAGGGCCUGCAUUCCAGAACUACCACUACACACAUAGGAGCAGCACUGGCCAUGUUCCUGCCUACUGGUGUAAUUUGCAUUGUUUUUCCAAUUUUCCCUUCUGGUGUUUCUGAUGUCAAUUUGGGCUUUUAGGUGACAAGUUUGGACAAGGUGACCUAGCUUUCCACAGAGGAAGCAUCGGGUUGAUUGGGUCUUUGUUGUCUUUGUACAAAUUUUCUUUUUGGUCUGUAUGAUUGUAAUGUCGCUAAAUUCUUUACCUCAUCUAUUUCUUUUUGUUGUGCUGUGAUCUUAGCUCCUGUAACAGCUCAUCUCUUUGUUCAGUUUUAUGUUCCUUUUCUCCAGUAAAUAUGUAGGUUGCUGUUUUUCUUAAAUCUUCCCAUCCCAGAGACUCCCAAUCUGGGCAAUGACGCCUAAAAUAAGUAUUCACUGGCACACAACUACCCUUAACAAAUUGUCUGCUUAUAUGUUGUUAAAUUAGCCUCAUACAAAUCUGCAAACUCCAGAAGAUUCUCUCCCAUUUCUACUACUUGGUCUAAGAAUGUGGAUGGAUGUUCCCCUGUUUCCUGUUUAAGCUUUUCAAAUCUGCCACAUGUCAGGUCCCUUUGUGAAAUUUUUCAUUGCUUCAAUUAAACCUUGUCUAGACUGAUCAAGAAAUCUUGGAUUUGGGACAUUACAAAGUUCUAGAUUCUGUUCAUACUCAGGCCCUGAAAUCAAAUUUGGAUUGUUUCUAGUCUUGGCAAUGAAUUAUUCUUUUUCCCUUUUGAUAAAGAGCUCAGAUAGAACAAGCUCUCCCGCGAGGUAGGAUCAAAUAAUUUGAUUGCCCGGCAGAACUCCUUUAUACACUUCAUUGGUUCGUCGAAGAAUCUGGGCAUUCUCUUGCGAAGAUGGUCCAGAUCUGCAGGUGUAAAUGAACUUUGAAACUCACCAGUCCUUUUUAUUUUUUUUGCUUAGGGCCCAAUUGUUGCUAUUUCUUCUUUGGUGUCAAGAUCAUCACUUUUAAGUCAGUGUCUGUUGCCUGAGUCUUUCCCCAACAAAACAGUUUAACACCUCUUUGCCUGCAUAAUAGAGUUGCAGCACUGAGAAAAACUCCUGCCAGCACAGGAAGGUAGACUA